This 470-nucleotide ribosomal RNA is filed under the name uncultured bacterium. RNAcentral's name for it is "bacterial SSU rRNA". It matches the Rfam family "Bacterial small subunit ribosomal RNA", at positions 28 to 507 of the family's 1533-position model. The record is from RNAcentral.
GAUGAACGCUAGCUACAGGCUUAACACAUGCAAGUUGCGGGGCAGCAUGUCGGUUGCUUGCAACCGAUGAUGGCGACCGGCGCACGGGUGAGUAACGCGUAUCCAACCUACCCUUCACCACGGAAUAAUCCAGUGAAAAUUGGUCUAAUACCGUAUGAGGUCAUACGAUGGCAUCAGAAUAUGACGAAAGGUUUAGCGGUGAAGGAUGGGGAUGCGUCUGAUUAGCUUGUUGGUGGGGUAACGGCCUACCAAGGCGACGAUCAGUAGCCGACCUGAGAGGGUGACCGGCCACAUUGGGACUGAGACACGGCCCAAACUCCUACGGGAGGCAGCAGUGGGGAAUAUUGCACAAUGGGGGAAACCCUGAUGCAGCAACGCCGCGUGAUUGAAGAAGUAUUUCGGUAUGUAAAGAUCUAUCAGCAAGGAAGAAAAUGACGGUACUUGACUAAGAAGCCCCGGCUAACUACGUG